CCGUGCUAAGUGGGGAGGUAGCGGUGCCCUGUACUUGCAAUCCGCUAUAGCAAGACCGAAUCCCUUUCCGAGGCUUUAUUUUUGUAGGGUCUGCCCUGCGUAAGUGGUGUUGACGUCCAGGUUCUGCGCAACGGAAACCCGCGAACCCUGUCAGGUCCGGAAGGAAGCAGCAGUAAGCGGACUCUUCCGUGUGCCGCAGAGCUGCCUGGACCGAGCAAACUGCGCAGGUAACGCUUAUGAAAAUAUUGUCGAAGAAAGGUGCACGG
This 266-nucleotide signal recognition particle RNA is filed under the name Marinococcus luteus. RNAcentral describes it as "Bacterial large signal recognition particle RNA". It matches the Rfam family "Bacterial large signal recognition particle RNA". From Rfam's summary of the family: The signal recognition particle (SRP) is a universally conserved ribonucleoprotein involved in the co-translational targeting of proteins to membranes. Archaeal SRP consists of a 7S RNA and homologues of the eukaryotic SRP19 and SRP54 proteins. RNAcentral also lists the same sequence under 6 other names. The record is from Rfam by way of RNAcentral. Lineage: Bacteria; Bacillati; Bacillota; Bacilli; Caryophanales; Bacillaceae.